Molecule: long non-coding RNA, 363 nt
Filed under: Erythranthe guttata (spotted monkey flower)
Lineage: Eukaryota; Viridiplantae; Streptophyta; Magnoliopsida; Lamiales; Phrymaceae
Description: long non-coding RNA (EGUT_LNC003664)
Source: RNAcentral
UCAGUUUAAGCAGUUUAACCAGUUCAACCGGCCGAUCUGGUCCAAGUUUCAAAACAUUGGUUUUAGCAAUUAGAAAUAACACAUUUUCUUUAUACAAUUCUCUCUCUAAAAAAAAAAACAAUUAAUUGAAAUUUAAAACCCUAAAAAAGAACAGUUCAACGAAUGAAAGUCAACCAAUAUUUAUGCAAGAUGUGUAUGUUAUAUAUCCCAGCAAAAGUUUUUGGUGGGUCCUGUAAGUUGUUUCUUUAUUACUCUAUUGCCCACUAAUAUUUCAUUUUUAUUUUCUCCCCAAUUGCAGAACAUGCCAUUAUGCAAAAUGAUUAUUGUUGAUCUUGUAAUCAUGGAUAUAUAUCUCUUUCCACC